This 204-nucleotide non-coding RNA is filed under the name Ectopseudomonas mendocina. RNAcentral also lists the same sequence under 1 other name. Lineage: Bacteria; Pseudomonadati; Pseudomonadota; Gammaproteobacteria; Pseudomonadales; Pseudomonadaceae. The record is from RNAcentral.
AGUAAGGUUGCCGCCGAUGGUUCCGCCGCCUCUGGCGCGCGGAUGAAAAGGGAACAGGGUGCGGCGCCGCGUCGCCAAUGCCCUGGCUGCCCCCGCAACUGUAAACGGCGUACGACGCUCCCUAUGCCACUGGCCGCCAGGCCGGGAAGGCGAGCGAAGUGGCAAGCCGUGAGCCAGGAGACCUGCCAUCGGCAAACGGGCGUU